Long non-coding RNA from Thamnophis elegans (Western terrestrial garter snake), 2313 nucleotides. RefSeq lists it as uncharacterized. The transcript has 4 exons. Lineage: Eukaryota; Metazoa; Chordata; Lepidosauria; Squamata; Natricidae. The record is from RefSeq and is a predicted model, not a curated record.
CGAGCCAGGGGAAAGCCCGGCGCCGGCGAGAGCUCGCGGGGAAGAGGGGGGGAGGAAACAACCACCUGGGCUUCUCACAUUCCUUGCAGCGAAACCUCGCGACGGCACACCCCCACCAACCGCCUCUGAGAGAGGCUCAGUCCGGUGGCCCCACUCCGCACACCGUCCCAGGCACGCGCCCGGCCACCCCAGCCACCAAUUUGCGUGCGCUGCUCAGCAACUGAACGCCCGGCCUUAAUUCACGCCCCUUUAGCUUACCUCCCCUACCUCGCCGACCAGCCAGAAUACUGAUUGGACGACGUUGUCCCGUAGGCCUAGCGACUUUCCCUUAGGCCCCCGGCCGCUGCGCGGCCCGGUGCCAGGUACUCCACGGCCCGGCACCGGUCCGCGGACCGGGGGUUGGGGACCACUGCUCUAAAGCACAGAGGGGCAGCUGAUGCUCAUCCAUCACCAUUGCUAUGCUGGCUAUAGCUGGCGCAAACUGAAGUUGAACAAUAUCUGGAAGGCCAGCAGCAGGAAGAGAUUUCUAGCUUAAUGAAUGCGCUCAUGGCUCAGUCUCUUGAGGCCUAUAAGUAAGACUGUGAAAAUCUACCUCAAAUGCUGCCCCUAGAAAUUACUAAAUCAGAUUGAUUUGUAAUAAAACCCGUAAAAUGCUGCUUCCUACACUGCCAAUUCCAUAGAUAUCUCAUAAUUUGACACAUUUAACAAGCAACAGAUAUGAACAUUCUCAUCUUUGAGAAGUUUGCUCAAUAAUGCUCUUGUAUAGACUAGCAAUUAAGGAACCAUGGAAACAUUUAUAUACAUCCCUUUUUUUACUUGUACAGUAGGUGGUUUUACUAAGCUGUGGUACACGGCUUGUGAGGUUGUACAUAGUUUCCAAUCUCCUGCAAACAUAGUUAGCAAAUUGUGAUAAAAUGAAGUAAUUGUCAGAUACCCAGAGAAUAAUUUUUGAUCUGCUAGAUUAUGUUAAUUUUAGUUUUUGUCUUAGCUUCUCCCAGACCUCCAUUCUGAUCUUUUUCACUUAAAAAUAUCACUUUCAAGCUGUCUCUCAAAAAUGGGAACCUCAGCUUGAAACAGCUUGUAAUCCAACAUUCAUUAAACCAGAGUUUAUUAUAAAUCAUAUUACACCAAGCCAUAGUCUACUUAAUAAUGCUUUGCUGAAUAAACCAUUAAAAAGUCUGGUAUUAAUAGAAACAUUGGUGGCGGGGGGGAGGGGGAACUGUUCUCUGUUGAGUUUUCCUGCUUCUGUGCUUCUAAAUAAAAUUGAUUGGGAACAAAAUGCUAAACUAUGUACUGACUUUGGAUUGAUCUAACCAGAUUUUUCUUAUCUUCUUGGCAGCCUCUAGGCAAUACCUGCUCCUGCUUGGUGCUCUUGCAAUUGUUGUUUUAUGGUUCUUUCAGACUCAAACAUUCUAAUAUCAAACAACAUUUGAAAGACUUCCUUUUUAAAAAAAAUUCUAGCCUAGUUUUAAACUAAUUGUGGUAGCCAUCAAGAUCUCUUGGGCAGCCAAUCUUACAAAUGAAAUAUGCUUUGCACACUAUUUUUUGAAUCAGUCCUAAAUCUGCUAGCAGAUGUAUGUCUUGGAUGAGUCCAGGUUCAACCAUUACAGGAAACAAAAAGAGAGAGAAAGAUGGGUGAUACUCUGUAUUCCAAUUUCUUCAUGUUGUAACUAACUUUGCAACAUUUGAACAUAUUCUUUUUUAAACAAAUUCCUGCCUGUAAAAUGCAUUUGUUCUUUUUACAUCCUGCAUUCUGAAUUUAAUCAAAAUUUUCCUGCUUAAUACUUAUUACUUGGUAAAAUGAUGUGUUUUUCCUAAUUCAUUGUUCUUCACUUGAUUUUUCUCCUCAGCUAUUUCAGCCUUAAAAAUAUAGCAAAUAUUUAUACUUCCCUUCAUCCAAUUAAACUCUUGCUAAAAUCAAAAGUGAAAUGGCCAACCAGGAACUAGAGGACUGGCUACAAACAGCAGCAUCCUGCAUUCUGGUUUCACUGCUCCUAGACACACAGUUGCAAGCAUGGCUGAAGAAAUCCAAAGGUUGAAAAGCAGAAAAUAAGAUUGACUCAGAAAUUAAUGACCUUGCCAAGCUGGAAAGCCCGGGAAUAUUUGGUUCAGAUGGUCUCCUUGGCAACCAAUUUAGAUGUCACAUUCGCCUGCGCCUGUUCCUUGGAGAGAUAACCAGGAUAAAAAUACAGUCUCCAGAUCAUAUGCUUUGGGAACUACAAAACUGAAUUACUUCCUGCAAGUUGAUGAAUACAUCAUAAUGGCUUACUGUUUGUGUGAAUAAUCUUGAAUUAUGCUCUUUGUAGUGUUGGU